This 64-nucleotide transfer RNA is filed under the name Wiedomys cerradensis (cerrado red-nosed mouse). RNAcentral's name for it is "tRNA-Trp". The record is from RNAcentral. Lineage: Eukaryota; Metazoa; Chordata; Mammalia; Rodentia; Cricetidae.
GGAAGUUUAAGAUAACUUAGUCCCAUAGCCUUCAAAGCUGUGAGUAAGCUAUGCUUAGCUUCUG